RNAcentral lists this long non-coding RNA (692 nucleotides) under Mytilus galloprovincialis (Mediterranean mussel). Lineage: Eukaryota; Metazoa; Mollusca; Bivalvia; Mytilida; Mytilidae. The record is from RNAcentral.
GUAUAUAGAAGACUACUUAUCAUAUACUACAUGUCACAUUUUAAAUGUUCAGAAACAUUUACUUUGAUUUUAGUGUAAAAAUACUCAUCAAUUGAGGUGCUCUUGAAUUGGAGGAAGAUUCUAAAAACAGAACUUUACAGAAACAAUGAAAACUGCCGUUUCUCUCCCCAAUCUCAUGUAUCCCCAUUGACAUUGUUUACCGCGAAAGUUGACCUACAUAUUAUCUGAUUAUAGCCUCAGAUUUAAGCAUUGCAUGUUGGUGUGUGAAUCAUCUACACUACAGCAAACAUCAUUAGGUUUAUAUUUAACAAAUACGGAUUUUAAAUUAGUAUACAAGUACUGUGAAUGAUUUUUAUAAUGAAUAAAGGAUAUCCCUGUGUAGUGUGGCAUUCCAACAAUGACGUCACUAGGUUAGAUAUAUUUAGAAUAUUUCGUAAUACUGAUUUUUCCGGACUGUAAAAGAAACGUAUAAAGUGUAAGGGAAAGCUCAAUAUACGAUAAUUUCAUGAGAAACAGAAGGGAAAUGUGUAAAAAAUGUAUUUAAAGUCAAUCUGUUCUCCUUGUCAUCAAUUUCAGUAUGACAUUUUGAGGGGGUUUCCAAACUAUCAAAACAAAAUGAUUGACGUGAGGGAACGAUACUCUGGCCAAUCCCAUUAGGGAAUUGAAGGCUUGAAGCCGUCUUUCCCCAAAAA